Solanum tuberosum (potato) is the source of this 821-nucleotide long non-coding RNA. RefSeq lists it as uncharacterized. The record is from RefSeq and is a predicted model, not a curated record. The transcript is spliced from 2 exons. NCBI's taxonomy places the organism in Eukaryota, Viridiplantae, Streptophyta, Magnoliopsida, Solanales, Solanaceae.
UCUUCUUUAUUCCAACAGAAUGCGCAGUACGCUCGACUUCAGCAAUGGUCACCUAGAAAAGAACGAACCCAUUCCCAAAUUUUUGCCUCUUCAAUUCCCCUUUUCUCCUUCAAUUCGUACCUUUAAGCGUGCCUAGCACGAGCUCGAGGAUAACUGGAGGUUUCCAGAACGUUCCCAGCAACAUUAUCCUCUCAAUGUCCUUUCCUUUUGCCAAUUUUCGUUCAAAAAUGGUACGAAUUUGUACACUACCUAGUUGGCAAUCCUUAUCCGCUUAAGAAUUUUGAAAAAAAUGCCCAAUUCUCACAUCGUUUCCCCCCUCAAUUUCAACCCAAAAGUUGUCCUAUAUAAACUCCUCCCUUCUGCUGUUCAUAGUGGCGUUUUGAGACCUGAGAGUACCCCUAAAAAGGUUUAGGAAUUCUCGUCUUUGUAGUUUAAAAUUUUGUGGUUGCUCGAGUUGAAAGAAGUGGAAUCGUCUCCGUCAAACUCGCCGUCCAGUUCGCUGCCCCCUACCAGUUCAAUAGCAGAGUUACAACACUCCCAAAGGCUGAAAGUUGGAAAAUUUGGACAUAAAAGAAUCGAAUUCGACUGAAGUAGCAGAAGCCCCAAAGGGCUGAAAAUUUGAAGUUUUUGGACUUUCAAAAAUAAAAGUCCAAUGUUCAGCAGAUUACGGCAAUCUCGACAGCAUUGGGAAACUGGAAGUCCGGAUUAUUCACUCUUGUUUGCCCAUUUUCUUUGUUAUUAUUUAGAUGACCCCUAAUGUUUUUGUUUUUCAUAACUUGGAUGAAUCCUUUGGAGGUUUUUAAUGGCUUUCUAUUUCGUCA